GGUGUUUUUUUUACAAAAUUUAAUUUUGGAAAGACGAGUUCGACGUGUGCAGCAUUCCUGUAGAAUAUUCAUUUUCUGAUGUACAUCUUGUAGUGAUGUAGUAGGUUUUAAUUAUGCAAAAGUGAUGUAAUAAUUNAUGUACAUCUUGUAGUGAUGUAGUAGGUUUUAAUUAUGCAAAAGUGAUGUAAUAAUUAAGGCCUUGUAAAGGAAUGUGUUUUGCGCAGCGUCAACGUUUUUCAGAUUAAAUUUUGGCAUAAGUACUUUUUUUUUUUAUCUGUGUGAUAAUAUUAU
Molecule: long non-coding RNA, 291 nt
Filed under: Ananas comosus (pineapple)
Lineage: Eukaryota; Viridiplantae; Streptophyta; Magnoliopsida; Poales; Bromeliaceae
Description: long non-coding RNA (ACOM_LNC029280)
Source: RNAcentral